This 324-nucleotide ribosomal RNA is filed under the name uncultured bacterium. RNAcentral's name for it is "bacterial SSU rRNA". It matches the Rfam family "Bacterial small subunit ribosomal RNA", at positions 568 to 897 of the family's 1533-position model. The record is from RNAcentral.
UCCGUAGGCGGUGUAGCAAGUCGAUAGUGAAAUCUCUGGGCUUAACCCAGAGGCUGCUAACGAAACUGCUGUGCUAGAGUGUGAGAGAGGCGAGUGGAAUUACGGGUGUAGCGGUGAAAUGCGUAGAUAUCCGUAGGAACAUCCGAGGCGAAGGCGGCUCGCUGGAUCACAACUGACGCUGAGGGACGAAAGCUAGGGGAGCAAACAGGAUUAGAUACCCUGGUAGUCCUAGCCCUAACAUCAGGACUGGGUUUGCCCUGUACGGGCAAGUCCCGUAGCUAACGCGUUAAGUCCUGCGCCUGGGGAGUACGGUCGCAAGGCUGA